RNAcentral lists this ribosomal RNA (274 nucleotides) under uncultured bacterium. RNAcentral describes it as "partial 16S ribosomal RNA". It matches the Rfam family "Bacterial small subunit ribosomal RNA", at positions 523 to 796 of the family's 1533-position model. The record is from RNAcentral.
AUACGAAAGUUGCAAGCGUUGUUCGGAUUUACUGGGCGUAAAGAGAGUGUAGGUGGUUUAUUAAGUCGGAUGUGAAAUCCCGGGGCUCAACCUCGGAACUGCAUUCGAUACUGAUAGGCUAGAGUUUGGGAGGGGUAAGCGGAAUUCCGUGUGUAGCAGUGAAAUGCGUAGAUAUACGGAGGAACACCUGAGGCGAAGGCGGCUUACUGGACCAAUACUGACACUGAGACUCGAAAGCGUGGGUAGCAAACGGGAUUAGAAACCCCAGUAGUCC